AAGUUGCAAAGCGUGCAACAAAACACGCUGUUAACGUAUUGUACACCUAUUGAGCCCACAUUUUAUGUUAAGAAAGACAUAAUUGACAAAAUAUUAUACGAUGUUGUAUGUUUGGUAACCGACACAGUCGGAAAAGACAAAAAAUCACGCCACGACAGGUCCAAAAUAAAACGCAAAACAUUGGACUUGUGGAAGACCCAAUUCCCGUGGCUUAUCGUGGACAAUAUUGAAGGGUACAUCUGUCUGAAUUGUCAAACAUGUAAAAAUGUAUCGAAGACGUGCAAUCUUAACACAGUUUGGGCAUAUGAAGGCUCUGCUGAUGUCCAGAUUUCAACUGUAAGAAAGCACGGUAGUUGUAAUGAUCACAUGACUGCUUGCGCUUACUUAGACAAACACAGACUGCCAGUGGGUCACAAAACAUGAUUAGCAGCAGUGACGAAGACGAUGGGAAAAGUUCUGUGUCACCACUUGUCCCGAAAGAAGACAUAGUUUUGUUUAAUACUGUUUAUUCUGUAGCAAAAGAGGAGAUGCCAUCAGAAAAAGUUAACAGUUUGUUACAAUUGCAAAGAAUUAAUGGUGUAGAUGUGCAGUAUAAAAACUAAAGUUGGGACACUAUAAAUGCUAUUCAAGAGUCUAUAAGUUUUGUUAUUACCAAGGACUUAGUGUCAGAAAUAAACAGUAGUCCAAAUUUUUGACGCUCUUAAAUAUUAAGCUACUUUUUAUAUGGGUAAUAUUUGGAGCGUACAAAGGGUGAAAGACCAAUUAUGUGGUGGGAAUUUUUUGUUCUUUGUCUAUAUUGUUGCGCAAGGAUUUUGUGCGCAACAUUCAAGCCCCGAUAUAAGACACUUAAUAACAACGGAUUGCAAUAAUAUUUACAUACCUGUGUAGAUAAUUCAUUUCUCGAUAAUGUUCCGUAAAAAUUAUGUAAUGACACUUUGAAUUUUGCACGCCUUUGCAAUUUAAA
Dreissena polymorpha is the source of this 964-nucleotide long non-coding RNA. RefSeq lists it as uncharacterized. NCBI's taxonomy places the organism in Eukaryota, Metazoa, Mollusca, Bivalvia, Myida, Dreissenidae. The transcript is spliced from 3 exons. The record is from RefSeq and is a predicted model, not a curated record.